AUCGAACGCUGGCGGCAUGCCUAACACAUGCAAGUCGAACGAGACCUUCGGGUCUAGUGGCGCACGGGUGCGUAACGCGUGGGAACCUGCCUUUAGGUUCGGAAUAACUCAGAGAAAUUUGAGCUAAUACCGGAUGAUGUCUUCGGACCAAAGAUUUAUCGCCUUUAGAUGGGCCCGCGUUGGAUUAGCUAGUUGGUGGGGUAAAGGCCUACCAAGGCGACGAUCCAUAGCUGGUCUGAGAGGAUGAUCAGCCACACUGGGACUGAGACACGGCCCAGACUCCUACGGGAGGCAGCAGUGGGGAAUAUUGGACAAUGGGCGAAAGCCUGAUCCAGCAAUGCCGCGUGAGUGAUGAAGGCCUUAGGGUUGUAAAGCUCUUUUACCCGAGAUGAUAAUGACAGUAUCGGGAGAAUAAGCUCCGGCUAACUCCGUG
RNAcentral lists this ribosomal RNA (433 nucleotides) under uncultured bacterium. Its description in RNAcentral is "partial 16S ribosomal RNA". It matches the Rfam family "Bacterial small subunit ribosomal RNA", at positions 30 to 507 of the family's 1533-position model. The record is from RNAcentral.